AUCUAAAGGGCUUCAGAACUCCUUGGAAUUGGAUUUUGGAAGUCUUUUAGAAGA
This 54-nucleotide microRNA precursor is filed under the name Monodelphis domestica (gray short-tailed opossum). RNAcentral's name for it is "microRNA mdo-mir-12310 precursor". The record is from miRBase by way of RNAcentral. Lineage: Eukaryota; Metazoa; Chordata; Mammalia; Didelphimorphia; Didelphidae.